CAGAGGCCACGAGCGUUAGGCGGAAUCACUGGGCUUAAAGCGUGUGUAGGCGGACCGUUAAGUGCCCGUGUGAAAUCCCCCGGCUCAACCGGGGAACGGCCGGGCAUACUGGCGGUCUUGGGCCAGCUAGGGGUCAUCGGAACAAACGGUGGAGCGGUGAAAUGCGUAGAUAUCGUUUGGAACGCCGACGGUGAAAACAGAUGACUGGGGCUGUGCCGACGCUGAGACACGAAAGCCAGGGGAGCAAACGGGAUUAGAUACCCCGGUAGUCCUGGCCCUAAACGAUGUCGACUAGAUCGUGGUCCCUCUGACGGGUUCACGGUCGAAGCAAAAGUGCUAAGUCGACCGCCUGGGAAGUACGGUCGCAGGGCUA
RNAcentral lists this ribosomal RNA (373 nucleotides) under uncultured organism. Its description in RNAcentral is "bacterial SSU rRNA". It matches the Rfam family "Bacterial small subunit ribosomal RNA", at positions 526 to 896 of the family's 1533-position model. The record is from RNAcentral.